This 474-nucleotide ribosomal RNA is filed under the name uncultured bacterium. RNAcentral's name for it is "bacterial SSU rRNA". It matches the Rfam family "Bacterial small subunit ribosomal RNA", at positions 328 to 793 of the family's 1533-position model. The record is from RNAcentral.
UCAGUCGACUCCUACGGGGAGGCAGCAGUGGGGAAUAUUGCACAAUGGGGGAAACCCUGAUGCAGCCAUGCCGCGUGUGUGAAGAAGGCCUUCGGGUUGUAAAGCACUUUCAGUAGGAGGAAGGUAGUGUAGUUAACACCUGCAUUAUUUGACGUUACCUACAGAAGAAGCACCGGCUAACUCCGUGCCAGCAGCCGCGGUAAUACGGAGGGUGCGAGCGUUAAUCGGAAUUACUGGGCGUAAAGCGCAUGCAGGCGGCCUGUUAAGUCAGAUGUGAAAGCCCGGGGCUUAACCUCGGAAUUGCAUUUGAAACUGGCAGGCUAGAGUCUUGUAGAGGGGGGUAGGAAUUUCAGGUGUAGCGGUGAAAUGCGUAGAGAUCUGAAGGAAUACCAGUGGCGAAGGCGGCCCCCUGGACAAAGACUGACGCUCAGAUGCGAAAGCGUGGGGAGCAAACAGGAUUAGAUACCCUGGUAG